Sebastes umbrosus (honeycomb rockfish) is the source of this 128-nucleotide long non-coding RNA. RefSeq lists it as uncharacterized. Lineage: Eukaryota; Metazoa; Chordata; Actinopteri; Perciformes; Sebastidae. The transcript has 4 exons. The record is from RefSeq and is a predicted model, not a curated record.
AAAUGUCUGAGAUUGAUGGUGAGUGCCUGGCAACGACUUGUUAUGAAGUGAAUGCAGUGGAACGGUGGAGAGAGAAUGUGACAUCUAGUAGCUGAAUGUUAUCAAUAGCAACUUUAAUAUGUGCAAAA